AUGCAUCGCUGCAUCCCCACGCGUUGCUGCAUCCCCCGUGCAUCGCUGCAUUCCCACGCAUCACUGCACCCUCGUGCAUUGCUGCCAUCCCCCAUGCAGGGUCACAGCCCCCAUGCAGUGCUGCAGUCCCCAUGCAUUGCUGCAUCCCCCAUGCAGGGUCAUAGUCCCCAUGCAGGGUUGCAGCCCCCACGCAGUGUUGCAUCCCCAUGCAUCACUGCAUCCCCCAUGCAGGGUCUCAGUCCUCAUGCAUCGCUGCAUCCCCCAUGCAGUGCUACCAUCCCCAUGCAUCGCUGCAUCCCCCAUGCAGGGUCGCAGCCCCCAUGCAUUGCUGCAUCCCCAUGCAUUGCUGCAUCCCCCAUGCAGGGUCAUAGUCCCCAUGCAUCGCUGCAUCCCCCAUGCAUCGCUGCAUCCCCAUGCAUCGCUGCAUCCCCCAUGCAGUGCUACCAUCCCCAUGCAUUGCUGCAUCCCCCAUGCAGGGUCAUAGUCCCCAUGCAUCGCUGCAUCCCCCAUGCAGGGUCGCAGUCCCCAUGCAUCGCUGCAUCCCCCAUGCAUUGCUGCCAUCCCCCAUGCAGGGUUGCAGCCCCCAUGCAUUGCUGCCAUCCCCCAUGCAGGGUUGCAGCCCCCAUGCAUUGCUGCCAUCCCCCAUGCAGGGUCAUAGUCCCCAUGCAUUGCUGCAUCCAUCAUGCAGGGCCAUAGUCCCCAUGCAUUGCUGCCACCCCCCAUGCAGGGCUGCGUCCCCCACGCAUUGCUGCAUCCCCCGUGCAGGGUUGCAGUCCCCAUGCAAGGUUGCAGUCUCCAAAUAGGGUUGCAGUCCCCAUGCAUCACUGCAUCCCCCAUGCAGGGUCAUAGUCCCCAUGCAGUGCUGCAACCCCAUGCACCGCUGCACCUCCCAUGCAUCGCUGCCCCCC
RNAcentral lists this long non-coding RNA (908 nucleotides) under Coturnix japonica (Japanese quail). Its description in RNAcentral is "lncRNA (ENSCJPG00005006753.1)". Lineage: Eukaryota; Metazoa; Chordata; Aves; Galliformes; Phasianidae. The record is from RNAcentral.